Molecule: long non-coding RNA, 231 nt
Organism: Morone saxatilis (striped sea-bass)
Lineage: Eukaryota; Metazoa; Chordata; Actinopteri; Moronidae
Exons: 4
Source: RefSeq, a predicted model, not a curated record
GCCAACAAUAACACUUUGAUUUGAGGACCUUGGUGAAAACACUGGUGACCUGCUGCUGCAUCAAACAUUAAUGGGAACAACUUAACAACAGGGCCCUUUCAACAUGGAAAGGAUCCAGCGGGAGAGACAAGACUCUGGUGGCCAGAUUGAUUUCAAAGAUCAGCAUCUUCCCCCUGAAAACAUCCUUGAGCAUGAGAGACCAGACUGUCCCGUACCCAGCUGUGUGUCCAU